RNAcentral lists this ribosomal RNA (610 nucleotides) under uncultured dinoflagellate. RNAcentral describes it as "SSU rRNA". It matches the Rfam family "Eukaryotic small subunit ribosomal RNA", at positions 495 to 1109 of the family's 1831-position model. The record is from RNAcentral. Lineage: Eukaryota; Dinophyceae.
UAUUAGUCUAGUAAUUGGAAUGAGUGCGAUUCACAACGCUGCACGAGUAUCAAUUGGAGGGCAAGUCUGGUGCCAGCAGCCGCGGUAAUUCCAGCUCCAAUAGCGUAUAUUAAAGUUGUUGCGGUUAAAACGCUCGUAGUUGGAUAUCUGCCAGCACAGGGUGCUCCGCCCAAGGGGUGUGUAGCCAUCUGUGUGCUGGCAUCAUCCUGGGGAGUGUAUCUGCACUUGAUUGUGCGGGGCAUGAGCCAGGGCAUUUACUUUGAGGAAAUGAGAGUGCUUCAAGCAGGCGUGCGCCGUGAAUACGUUAGCAUGGAAUAAUAGUAUCGGACCGCGUCCCAAAGCUGUUGGUUUCUUGGGGCGUGGUAAAGAUGAAUAGGGAUUGUUGGGGGCAUUCGUAUUUAACUGUCAGAGGUGAAAUUCUUGGAUUUGUUGAAGACGCACUACUGCGAAAGCAUCUGCCAAAGAUGUUCACAUUGAUCAAGAACGAAAGUUGGGUGAUCGAAGACGAUCAGAUACCGUCCUAGUCUUAACCAUAAACUAUGCCGACUGGAGAUGGGGGGUCGUUACGUUUAUGACGCCUUCUGCAUCUUGGGAGAAAUCAAAGUCUUUG